This 478-nucleotide ribosomal RNA is filed under the name uncultured bacterium. RNAcentral's name for it is "bacterial SSU rRNA". It matches the Rfam family "Bacterial small subunit ribosomal RNA", at positions 30 to 506 of the family's 1533-position model. The record is from RNAcentral.
UUGAACGCUGGCGGCAUGCUUUACACAUGCAAGUCGAACGGUAGACCCUUUCGGGGGUUGAGAGUGGCGAACGGGUGAGUAACAUAUCGGAACGUACCCAGACGUGGGGGAUAACACAUCGAAAGAUGUGCUAAUACCGCAUACGACCUGAGGGUGAAAGGGGGGGAUCGCAAGACCUCUCGCGUUUGGAGCGGCCGAUAUCGGAUUAGCUAGUUGGUGGGGUAAAGGCUCACCAAGGCGACGAUCCGUAGCUGGUCUGAGAGGACGACCAGCCACACUGGAACUGAGACACGGUCCAGACUCCUACGGGAGGCAGCAGUGGGGAAUUUUGGACAAUGGGGGCAACCCUGAUCCAGCCAUUCCGCGUGAGUGAAGAAGGCCUUCGGGUUGUAAAGCUCUUUCGGCAGGAACGAAACGGUGGAGGCUAAUAUCCUUCAUCAAUGACGGUACCUGAAGAAGAAGCACCGGCUAACUACGU